RNAcentral lists this ribosomal RNA (447 nucleotides) under uncultured bacterium. RNAcentral's name for it is "bacterial SSU rRNA". It matches the Rfam family "Bacterial small subunit ribosomal RNA", at positions 330 to 794 of the family's 1533-position model. The record is from RNAcentral.
GCCAGACUCCUACGGGAGGCAGCAGUGGGGAAUAUUGCACAAUGGGGGGAACCCUGAUGCAGCAACGCCGCGUGGGUGAAGAAGUAUUUCGGUAUGUAAAGCCCUAUCAGCAGGGAAGAAGAUGACGGUACCUGACUAAGAAGCCCCGGCUAAAUACGUGCCAGCAGCCGCGGUAAUACGUAUGGGGCAAGCGUUAUCCGGAUUUACUGGGUGUAAAGGGAGCGUAGACGGUUAUGCAAGUCUGGAGUGAAAGGCGGGGGCUCAACCCCCGGACUGCUCUGGAAACUGUAGAACUAGAGUGCAGGAGGGGUAAGUGGAAUUCCUAGUGUAGCGGUGAAAUGCGUAGAUAUUAGGAGGAACACCAGUGGCGAAGGCGGCUUACUGGACUGUAACUGACGUUGAGGCUCGAAAGCGUGGGGAGCAAACAGGAUUAGAUACCCGGGUACA